GCCUGGCUAGCUCAGUCAGUAGAGUGCGAGACUCUUAAUCUCAGGGUCGUGGGUUCAAACCCCACGUUGGGGG
Molecule: transfer RNA, 73 nt
Filed under: Ovis aries (sheep)
Lineage: Eukaryota; Metazoa; Chordata; Mammalia; Artiodactyla; Bovidae
Rfam family: tRNA
About the family: Transfer RNA (tRNA) molecules are approximately 80 nucleotides in length. Their secondary structure includes four short double-helical elements and three loops (D, anti-codon, and T loops).
Source: Rfam by way of RNAcentral